RNAcentral lists this transfer RNA (75 nucleotides) under Pelolinea submarina. RNAcentral's name for it is "tRNA-Met". It matches the Rfam family "tRNA". From Rfam's summary of the family: Transfer RNA (tRNA) molecules are approximately 80 nucleotides in length. Lineage: Bacteria; Bacillati; Chloroflexota; Anaerolineae; Anaerolineales; Anaerolineaceae. The record is from RNAcentral.
GGGCCCGUAGCUCAGCGGCAGAGCACGCGGCUCAUAACCGCUUGGUCGCAGGUUCGAAUCCUGCCGGGCCCACUA